RNAcentral lists this long non-coding RNA (225 nucleotides) under Elaeis guineensis (African oil palm). Its description in RNAcentral is "long non-coding RNA (EGUI_LNC030131)". The record is from RNAcentral. Lineage: Eukaryota; Viridiplantae; Streptophyta; Magnoliopsida; Arecales; Arecaceae.
UUCCUCAUCCAUUGCUCUCACCAUCGCCUUGAGCUCACUCCCGGGAGCGUCCUGGCGGCUGACGGCCUCACCAUCGAAGUGCUCCUUGGUCAAGCCGGUUAACCAAGAGGAAGCCUGGCCCCAGUCGAGGUCGGGAAUCGGUUUUCAUCCUCCAGAGUAGACAAACUGGGGAGCUUCCUACGCGCGAUCGAAUAGGGAAGCUUAGGCGACGCCACACGGCUCCCU